CAGCAGCCGCGGUAAUACGAAGGGUGCAAGCGUUACUCGGAAUUACUGGGCGUAAAGCGUGCGUAGGUGGUGGUUUAAGUCCGUUGUGAAAGCCCUGGGCUCAACCUGGGAAUUGCAGUGGAUACUGGGUCACUAGAGUGUGGUAGAGGAUAGUGGAAUUUCCGGUGUAGCAGUGAAAUGCGUAGAGAUCGGAAGGAACAUCUGUGGCGAAGGCGACUAUCUGGGCCAACACUGACACUGAGGCACGAAAGCGUGGGGAGCAAACAGGAUUAGAGACCCGUGUAGUCCCUGUCUCUUAUAC
This 301-nucleotide ribosomal RNA is filed under the name uncultured bacterium. Its description in RNAcentral is "partial 16S ribosomal RNA". It matches the Rfam family "Bacterial small subunit ribosomal RNA", at positions 509 to 807 of the family's 1533-position model. The record is from RNAcentral.